This 295-nucleotide long non-coding RNA is filed under the name Nicotiana tabacum (common tobacco). RNAcentral describes it as "long non-coding RNA (NTAB_LNC011706)". Lineage: Eukaryota; Viridiplantae; Streptophyta; Magnoliopsida; Solanales; Solanaceae. The record is from RNAcentral.
AAAAGUAUUCCCGCAUUAUACUGGUGGGCGACCUAGAACUUAAAAGUAUUCCCGCAUUAUACUGGUGGGCGACCUAGAACUUAAAUGUAUUCCCGCAUUAUACUGGUGGGCGACCUAGAACUUAAAAGUAUUCCCGCAUUAUACUGGUGGGCGACCUAGAACUUAAAGGUAUUCCCGCAUUAUACUGGUGGGCGACCUAGAACUUAAAAGUAUUCCCGCAUUAUACUGGUGGGCGACCUAGAACUUAAAAGUAUUCCCACAUUAUACUGAGGGCGACCUAGAACUUAAAGGUAUU